RNAcentral lists this ribosomal RNA (253 nucleotides) under uncultured bacterium. RNAcentral's name for it is "partial 16S ribosomal RNA". It matches the Rfam family "Bacterial small subunit ribosomal RNA", at positions 524 to 776 of the family's 1533-position model. The record is from RNAcentral.
UACGUAGGGGGCGAGCGUUGUCCGGAUUUACUGGGCGUAAAGAGCGUGUAGGCGGCCACGCAGGUCCGUUGUGAAAACUGGAGGCUCAACCUUCAGACGUCGACGGAAACCGUGUGGCUAGAGUCCGGAAGAGGAGAGUGGAAUUCCUGGUGUAGCGGUGAAAUGCGCAGAUAUCAGGAAGAACACCAAUGGCGAAGGCAGCUCUCUGGGACGGUACUGACGCUGAGACGCGAAAGCGUGGGGAGCGAACAGG